CCUACGGGGGACAGCAGUGAGGAAUAUUGGUCAAUGGACGAGAGUCUGAACCAGCCAAGUAGCGUGAAGGAUGACUGCCCUAUGGGUUGUAAACUUCUUUUAUAAAGGAAUAAAACGAGGCACGUGUGCCUUUUUGCAUGUACUUUAUGAAUAAGGAUCGGCUAACUCCGUGCCAGCAGCCGCGGUAAUACGGAGGAUCCGAGCGUUAUCCGGAUUUAUUGGGUUUAAAGGGAGCGUAGAUGGGUUGUUAAGUCAGUUGUGAAAGUUUGCGGCUCAACCGGAAAAGUGCAAUUGAAACUGGGAGUCUUGAGUACAGUUGAGGUAGGCGGAAUUCGUGGUGUAGCGGUGAAAUGCUUAGAUAUCACGAAGAACCCCGAUUGCGAAGGCAGCUUACUAAACUGUGACUGACAUUGAGGCUCGAAAGUGUGGGUAUCAAACAGGAUUAGAUACCCCAGUAGUC
Molecule: ribosomal RNA, 460 nt
Filed under: uncultured bacterium
Lineage: Bacteria
Description: partial 16S ribosomal RNA
Rfam family: Bacterial small subunit ribosomal RNA
Source: RNAcentral